Molecule: ribosomal RNA, 497 nt
Filed under: uncultured bacterium
Lineage: Bacteria
Description: partial 16S ribosomal RNA
Rfam family: Bacterial small subunit ribosomal RNA
Source: RNAcentral
GAUGAACGCUGGCGGCGUGCCUAAUACAUGCAAGUCGAGCGGACGGACGCGACGCUUGCUUCUCUGAUGUUAGCGGAGGACGGGUGAGUAACACGUGGAUAACCUACCUAUAAUACUGGGAUAACUUCGGGAAACCGUAGCUAAUACCGGAUAAUCUUUUGCACCGCAUGGUUCAAAAGUGAAAGACGGUCUUGCUGUCACUUAUAGAUGGAUCCCCGCUGCAUUAGCUAGUUGGUAAGGUAACGGCUUACCAAGGCAACGAUGCAUAGCCGACCUGAGAGAGUGGUAGGCGACACUGGAGCUGGAACACGGUCAAGACUCCUACGGGACGCAGCAGUAUGGAAUGUGCCGCAACAGGCGAAAGCCUGACGGAGCAACGCCGCGUGAGUGAUGAAGGCCUUCGGAUCGUAAAACUCUGUUAUUAGUGAAGAACAGAUGUGUAAGUAACUGUGCACAGCGUGACGGUACCUAAUCAGAAAGCCACGGCUAACUACGUG